AGUGAACGCUGGCGGUAGGCCUAACACAUGCAAGUCGAACGGCAGCACAGUAAGAGCUUGCUCUUACGGGUGGCGAGUGGCGGACGGGUGAGGAAUACAUCGGAAUCUACUUUUUCGUGGGGGAUAACGUAGGGAAACUUACGCUAAUACCGCAUACGACCUACGGGUGAAAGCAGGGGAUCUUCGGACCUUGCGCGAUUGAAUGAGCCGAUGUCGGAUUAGCUAGUUGGCGGGGUAAAGGCCCACCAAGGCGACGAUCCGUAGCUGGUCUGAGAGGAUGAUCGGCGACAGUGGAACGGAGACGCGGUCCGGAAGCCGACGGGAGGCAGCAGUAGGGAAGCGGCAGCAAGGGGGGAAAGUCGGACGGAGAAAAGCGGGGUGAAUGAGGAAGGGCUUCGGAUCGUAAAGCGCUGUUAGGAGGGAAAAAAAAAAGUGGAAGGAACGAUGCAGGGGGGGACGGUACAUAAUGAGAAAGACACGGCUAACUAAGUG
Molecule: ribosomal RNA, 492 nt
Filed under: uncultured bacterium
Lineage: Bacteria
Description: partial 16S ribosomal RNA
Rfam family: Bacterial small subunit ribosomal RNA
Source: RNAcentral